UUAAGUGACUAAGCGUACACGGUGGAUGCCUGGGCAGUCAGAGGCGAUGAAGGACGUACUAACUUGCGAUAAGCGCAGAUAAGGCAGUAAGAGCCGUUUGAGUCUGCGAUUUCCGAAUGGGGAAACCCAACUGCAUAAGCAGUUACUGUUAACUGAAUACAUAGGUUAACAGAGCAAACCGGGGGAACUGAAACAUCUAAGUACCCCGAGGAGAAGAAAUCAACCGAGAUUCCGGUAGUAGCGGCGAGCGAACCUGGAUUAGCCCUUAAGCACUCGGUGAAGUAGGUGAACAAGCUGGAAAGCUUGGCGAUACAGGGUGAUAGCCCCGUAACCGACGCUUCAUCGAGCGUGAAAUCGAGUAGGGCGGGACACGUGAUAUCCUGUCUGAAUAUGGGGGGACCAUCCUCCAAGGCUAAAUACUCCUGACUGACCGAUAGUGAACCAGUACCGUGAGGGAAAGGCGAAAAGAACCCCUGUGAGGGGAGUGAAAUAGAACCUGAAACCGUGUACGUACAAGCAGUAGGAGCACCUUCGUGGUGUGACUGCGUACCUUUUGUAUAAUGGGUCAGCGACUUAUAUUCAGUGGCAAGGUUAACCGUAUAGGGGAGCCGUAGCGAAAGCGAGUCUUAACUGGGCGCUCAGUCUCUGGAUAUAGACCCGAAACCGGGUGAUCUAGCCAUGGGCAGGUUGAAGGUUGAGUAACAUCAACUGGAGGACCGAACCGACUAAUGUUGAAAAAUUAGCGGAUGACUUGUGGCUAGGGGUGAAAGGCCAAUCAAACUCGGAGAUAGCUGGUUCUCCCCGAAAGCUAUUUAGGUAGCGCCUCGGACGAAUACUACUGGGGGUAGAGCACUGUUAAGGCUAGGGGGUCAUCCCGACUUACCAACCCUUUGCAAACUCCGAAUACCAGUAAGUACUAUCCGGGAGACACACGGCGGGUGCUAACGUCCGUCGUGGAGAGGGAAACAACCCAGACCGCCAGCUAAGGUCCCAAAGUAUUGCUAAGUGGGAAACGAUGUGGGAAGGCUCAGACAGCUAGGAUGUUGGCUUAGAAGCAGCCAUCAUUUAAAGAAAGCGUAAUAGCUCACUAGUCGAGUCGGCCUGCGCGGAAGAUGUAACGGGGCUAAGCAAUACACCGAAGCUGCGGCAAUGUCUUUUAGACAUUGGGUAGGGGAGCGUUCUGUAAGCCGUUGAAGGUGAAUCGUAAGGUUUGCUGGAGGUAUCAGAAGUGCGAAUGCUGACAUGAGUAACGACAAAGGGGGUGAAAAACCUCCUCGCCGGAAGACCAAGGGUUCCUGUCCAACGUUAAUCGGGGCAGGGUGAGUCGACCCCUAAGGUGAGGCCGAAAGGCGUAAUCGAUGGGAAACGGGUUAAUAUUCCCGUACUUCUGACUAUUGCGAUGGGGGGACGGAGAAGGCUAGGUGGGCCAGGCGACGGNCCGACACAGGUGGUCGGGUAGAGAAUACCAAGGCGCUUGAGAGAACUCGGGUGAAGGAACUAGGCAAAAUGGUACCGUAACUUCGGGAGAAGGUACGCUCUUGAUGGUGAAGUCCCUCGCGGAUGGAGCUGACGAGAGUCGCAGAUACCAGGUGGCUGCAACUGUUUAUUAAAAACACAGCACUGUGCAAAAUCGCAAGAUGACGUAUACGGUGUGACGCCUGCCCGGUGCCGGAAGGUUAAUUGAUGGGGUUAGCGCAAGCGAAGCUCUUGAUCGAAGCCCCGGUAAACGGCGGCCGUAACUAUAACGGUCCUAAGGUAGCGAAAUUCCUUGUCGGGUAAGUUCCGACCUGCACGAAUGGCGUAAUGAUGGCCACGCUGUCUCCACCCGAGACUCAGUGAAAUUGAAAUCGCUGUGAAGAUGCAGUGUACCCGCGGCUAGACGGAAAGACCCCGUGAACCUUUACUACAGCUUGGCACUGAACAUUGAACCUACAUGUGUAGGAUAGGUGGGAGGCUAUGAAGACGUGACGCCAGUUGCGUUGGAGCCGUCCUUGAAAUACCACCCUUGUAUGUUUGAUGUUCUAACUUAGACCCAUUAUCUGGGUUGAGGACAGUGCCUGGUGGGUAGUUUGACUGGGGCGGUCUCCUCCCAAAGAGUAACGGAGGAGCACGAAGGUGGGCUAAUCACGGUUGGACAUCGUGAGGUUAGUGCAAUGGCAUAAGCCCGCUUAACUGCGAGAAUGACGGUUCGAGCAGGUGCGAAAGCAGGUCAUAGUGAUCCGGUGGUUCUGUAUGGAAGGGCCAUCGCUCAACGGAUAAAAGGUACUCCGGGGAUAACAGGCUGAUACCGCCCAAGAGUUCAUAUCGACGGCGGUGUUUGGCACCUCGAUGUCGGCUCAUCACAUCCUGGGGCUGAAGUCGGUCCCAAGGGUAUGGCUGUUCGCCAUUUAAAGUGGUACGCGAGCUGGGUUUAGAACGUCGUGAGACAGUUCGGUCCCUAUCUGCCGUGGGCGUUGGAAGAUUGAAGGGGGCUGCUCCUAGUACGAGAGGACCGGAGUGGACGAACCUCUGGUGUUCGGGUUGUGUCGCCAGACGCAUUGCCCGGUAGCUAAGUUCGGAAUUGAUAAGCGCUGAAAGCAUCUAAGCGCGAAGCGAGCCCUGAGAUGAGUCUUCCCUGACAGUUUAACUGUCCUAAAGGGUUGUUCGAGACUAGAACGUUGAUAGGCAGGGUGUGUAAGCGUUGUGAGGCGUUGAGCUAACCUGUACUAAUUGCCCGUGAGGCUUAACCAU
Molecule: ribosomal RNA, 2730 nt
Filed under: Vibrio cholerae
Lineage: Bacteria; Pseudomonadati; Pseudomonadota; Gammaproteobacteria; Vibrionales; Vibrionaceae
Description: bacterial LSU rRNA
Rfam family: Bacterial large subunit ribosomal RNA
Source: RNAcentral